RNAcentral lists this transfer RNA (74 nucleotides) under Callitettix versicolor. Its description in RNAcentral is "tRNA-Val". The record is from RNAcentral. Lineage: Eukaryota; Metazoa; Arthropoda; Insecta; Hemiptera; Cercopidae. RNAcentral also lists the same sequence under 1 other name.
CAGAUUGUAGCUUAAAUUGGUUAAGUAUAUUAUUUACACUAAUAUUUUAAAUUGUUCAAUUCAAUUUUUUCUGA